RNAcentral lists this ribosomal RNA (468 nucleotides) under uncultured bacterium. Its description in RNAcentral is "partial 16S ribosomal RNA". It matches the Rfam family "Bacterial small subunit ribosomal RNA", at positions 28 to 507 of the family's 1533-position model. The record is from RNAcentral.
GACGAACGCUGGCGGCGUGCUUAACACAUGCAAGUCGAACGGAAAGGCCCUGCUUUUGUGGGGUGCUCGAGUGGCGAACGGGUGAGUAACACGUGAGUAACCUGCCCUUGACUUUGGGAUAACCUCAGGAAACUGGGGCUAAUACCGGAUAGGAGCUCCUGCUGCAUGGUGGGGGUUGGAAAGUUUCGGCGGUUGGGGAUGGACUCGCGGCUUAUCAGCUUGUUGGUGGGGUAGUGGCUUACCAAGGCUUUGACGGGUAGCCGGCCUGAGAGGGUGACCGGCCACAUUGGGACUGAGAUACGGACCAGACUCCUACGGGAGGCAGCAGUGGGGAAUAUUGCACAAUGGGCGGAAGCCUGAUGCAGAAACGCCGCGUGCGGGAUGACGGCCUUCGGGUUGUAAACCGCUUUCGCAUGUGACGAAGCGUGAGUGACGGUAAUGGGUAAAGAAGCACCGGCUAACUACGUG